GACGAACGCUGGCGGCGUGCCUAAUACAUGCCAGUAGAACGCACAGUUUAUACCGUAGCUUGCUACACCAUAAACUGUGAGUUGCGAACGGGUGAGUAACGCGUAGGUAACCUGCCUGGUAGCGGGGGAUAACUAUUGGAAACGAUAGCUAAUACCGCAUAAUAUUGAUUAUUGCAUGAUAAUUGAUUGAAAGAUGCUAUUGCAUCACUACCAGAUGGACCUGCGUUGUAUUAGCUAGUAGGUGAGGUAACGGCUCACCUAGGCGACGAUACAUAGCCGACCUGAGAGGGUGAUCGGCCACACUGGGACUGAGACACGGCCCAGACUCCUACGGGAGGCAGCAGUAGGGAAUCUUCGGCAAUGGACGAAAGUCUGACCGAGCAACGCCGCGUGAGUGAAGAAGGGUUUCGGAUCGUAAAGCUCUGUUGUAAGAGAAGAACGGGUGUGAGAGUGGAAAGUUCACACUGUGACGGUAUCUUACCAGAAAGGGACGGCUAACUACGUG
RNAcentral lists this ribosomal RNA (505 nucleotides) under uncultured bacterium. Its description in RNAcentral is "partial 16S ribosomal RNA". It matches the Rfam family "Bacterial small subunit ribosomal RNA", at positions 28 to 507 of the family's 1533-position model. The record is from RNAcentral.